RNAcentral lists this ribosomal RNA (538 nucleotides) under uncultured bacterium. Its description in RNAcentral is "bacterial SSU rRNA". It matches the Rfam family "Bacterial small subunit ribosomal RNA", at positions 161 to 683 of the family's 1533-position model. The record is from RNAcentral.
GGCUAAUACCGGAUACGUUCCCUGGAUUGCGAAAUCUGGGGAGGAAAGGCGGCGCAAGCUGCCGCUCUUGGAGGGGCUCGCGGCCUAUCAGCUAGUUGGUGAGGUAACGGCUCACCAAGGCUAUGACGGGUAGCUGGUCUGAGAGGACGACCAGCCACACGGGAACUGAGACACGGUCCCGACUCCUACGGGAGGCAGCAGUGGGGAAUUUUCCGCAAUGGGCGAAAGCCUGACGAAGUGACGCCGCGUGGGGGACGAAGGCCUUCGGGUUGUAAACCCCUGUCAGAGGGAAAGAAGGGUGUCGGCGUGAUAACCGCCGGCACUUGACGGUACCUUCAGAGGAAGCCCCGGCCAACUCUGUGCCAGCAGCCGCGGUAAGACAGAGGGGGCAAGCGUUGCUCGGAAUCACUGGGCGUAAAGGGCGCGUAGGCGGGAUGGCAAGUCAGUCGUGAAAUCUCUCAGCUCAACCGAGAAACGUCGGCUGAUACUGCCGUUCUUGAGGGAUGCAGAGGAGACUGGAAUUCCCGGUGUAGCGGUG